AGAAUCAGCACGCUAGAGGCUUGCUAGAGCUAAACGAAGGACACGAACGACAAUGACGAGAGAGAAAGAGAGAGACUGACGAAUGAUCGAAAAUGGAAAAGCUAAAAUUGAAAUUUCAUCUGCGCAUUUAAGCACGCAUGUCGGGGUAAACGUGUCAAGGUGCCGAUAGACGUAGCGACGCGACGAAUCCGUCGCGAGAUAUAGUAGCGAGGAUGGACUAAGGCGAAGGAAAAGGAGAAAGCAUGGAGGAAGAAGCAGGACGGCAAGACGCACGCCCGACAAUGACGACGACGUACGAUUCAAAGUGCCCGCGAACGGAAAGAUCAGGCAGGAAAAUAUAAGAGGAUGUAAUCUGCUCGUGUCCUGAAUUAGCUUGAAUGAUAUAAGAUGACCUAAUUGAUUGAAAAUUUCUUGCUUGACGAUUUUCGUUAUCGACAAUAAAAAAUGUUUAUUUUGUAAAACUUAGAGAGUGGUAGAACAGAUACGAUUUAUAUACUCUCACAGGUUCGUUAAAAUCUAUAAAAAAAAUUCAAACGAUUAUAUCGUAUUUCAUGGAGUAUGAUAAUAAAUACAUUUAUCGCAUUAUGUGUCGUUCUAACAGU
Long non-coding RNA from Vespula pensylvanica (western yellowjacket), 602 nucleotides. RefSeq lists it as uncharacterized. Lineage: Eukaryota; Metazoa; Arthropoda; Insecta; Hymenoptera; Vespidae. The transcript has 3 exons. The record is from RefSeq and is a predicted model, not a curated record.